AGUGAACGCUGGCGGUAGGCCUAACACAUGCAAGUCGAACGGCAGCACAGUAAGAGCUUGCUCUUACGGGUGGCGAGUGGCGUACGGGUAAGGAAUACAUCGGAAUCUACUUUUUCGUGGGGGAUAACGUAGGUAAACUUACGCUAAUACCGCAUACGACCUACGGGUGAAAGCAGUGGAUCUUCGGACCUUGCGCGUUUGAAUGAGCCGAUUUCGGAUUAGCUAGUUGGCGGGGUAAAGGCCCACCAAGGCGACGAUCCGUAGCUGGUCUGAGAGGAUGAUCAGCGACACUGGAACGGAGACACGGUCCAGACUCCUACGGGAGGCAGCAGUGGGGAAUAUUGGACAAUGGGCGCAAGCCUGAUCCAGCGAUACCGCGUGGGUGAAGAAGGCCUUCGGGUUGUAAAGCCCUUUUGUUGGGAAAGAAAAGCAGCAGGUUAAUACCCCGCUGUUCUGACGGUACCCAAAGAAUAAGCACCGGCUAACUUCGUG
RNAcentral lists this ribosomal RNA (492 nucleotides) under uncultured bacterium. RNAcentral describes it as "partial 16S ribosomal RNA". It matches the Rfam family "Bacterial small subunit ribosomal RNA", at positions 29 to 507 of the family's 1533-position model. The record is from RNAcentral.